CCCUCGCUCCCUCACUCCCGUGCAGCCUUCGCUUCCAUGUAGCUGGAGAGUAUAAAAGGGAGAGGUUCUGUAAUAAAGCAAGCAAGCAAGCAAGGAACUUGAGAAGAAAGGUGCCUCCCGUCUCUCUGUCCUCAUCCUUUCAGGUUUAGGACCUGCUGGCAGGAUCCUGAUGUCGCGGCUCGCGACAAGUGGCGCCCGAACAGGGACCUGAAAGUAGAUGAGGAUAUGUAAUCCCGGACCCAGGUCGAAGGCAGCGAUGGUGCUCCGGAGGACUGACCGCUGCGCCUGAUCCUCGCAGUUUAGGACCUGCUGGCAGGAUCCUGACGUCGCGGCUAGCGACAAGUGGCACCCGAACAGGGACCUGAAAGUAGAUGAGGAUAUGUAAUCCCGGACCCAGAUCGAAGGCAGCGACGGUGCUCCGGAGGACUGACCGCUGUGCCUGAUCCUCACAGUACAUUUAUAGAUCCACCACUAUCCCUGAACAGCUUGAAGCUGGGUUUCCACUGAGGAGACUGGAUUGGGACCCCAACACUGGAGCAGCAGAGAGAACUCCAGGAUGUGUCUUGGUGCACGAGCGGAGACUUUAUUGUCCAGAACAAGGAUUUAAUAGAAUUGGUUUGGCUAUACUUCAGCAACAAAUGGACUUAUUAAAUGAAGAAGUUGAAGGAUUGUGGUUGCAUACUCGAUUGGACUGCGACUCCAGAUUUCAACAGCUCUACUCCCUUUCCUGUCGAAAACCAUUCUGAGGAAGUCCGACAACUUUCAUCAUUGUUGCGA
Molecule: long non-coding RNA, 777 nt
Filed under: Fukomys damarensis (Damara mole-rat)
Lineage: Eukaryota; Metazoa; Chordata; Mammalia; Rodentia; Bathyergidae
Description: lncRNA (ENSFDAG00000031005.1)
Source: RNAcentral